RNAcentral lists this ribosomal RNA (450 nucleotides) under uncultured bacterium. RNAcentral's name for it is "bacterial SSU rRNA". It matches the Rfam family "Bacterial small subunit ribosomal RNA", at positions 354 to 796 of the family's 1533-position model. The record is from RNAcentral.
GUGGGGAAUAUUGGACAAUGGGCGAAAGCCUGAUCCAGCCAUGCCGCGUGUGUGAAGAAGGUCUUCGGAUUGUAAAGCACUUUAAGUUGGGAGGAAGGGCAGUAAGUUAAUACCUUGCUGUUUUGACGUUACCGACAGAAUAAGCACCGGCUAACUUCGUGCCAGCAGCCGCGGUAAUACGAAGGGUGCAAGCGUUAAUCGGAAUUACUGGGCGUAAAGCGCGCGUAGGUGGUUUUGUAAGUUGGAGGUGAAAGCCCCGGGCUCAACCUGGGAACUGCCUCCAAAACUGCAUGACUAGAGUACGGUAGAGGGUAGUGGAAUUUCCUGUGUAGCGGUGAAAUGCGUAGAUAUAGGAAGGAACACCAGUGGCGAAGGCGACUACCUGGACUGAUACUGACACUGAGGUGCGAAAGCGUGGGGAGCAAACAGGAUUAGAAACCCCUGUAGUCC